UGAUGUAUCACAUCUAGACGAGUAAUGAUACAUAGAUCCCUGAUAGAUCAGUCACUACCCGCUGAUCCAGUGGGUAGUGUAGACAUACCCUUAAGUGGGGAUAUGGGAGAGGUA
This is a long non-coding RNA of Gopherus evgoodei (Goodes thornscrub tortoise), 114 nucleotides long. RefSeq lists it as uncharacterized. The record is from RefSeq and is a predicted model, not a curated record. NCBI's taxonomy places the organism in Eukaryota, Metazoa, Chordata, Testudines, Testudinidae. The transcript has 3 exons.